RNAcentral lists this ribosomal RNA (406 nucleotides) under uncultured bacterium. RNAcentral describes it as "partial 16S ribosomal RNA". It matches the Rfam family "Bacterial small subunit ribosomal RNA", at positions 30 to 526 of the family's 1533-position model. The record is from RNAcentral.
AUUGAACGCUGGCGGCAGGCCUAAUACAUGCAAGUCGAGCGAGCGGCGGACGGGUGAGUAAUGUCUGGGAAACUGCCUGAUGGAGGGGGCUAACUACUGGAAACGGUAGCUAAUACCGCAUACCAUCAGAUGUGCUCUGAUUGGAUUAGCUAGUAGGUGGGGUAAUGGCUCACCGAGGCGACGAUCCCUAGCUGGUCUGCGAGGUGGACCAGCCACACUGGAACUGAGACACGGUCCAGACUCCGACGGGAGGCAGCAGUAGGGAAUAUUUCACAAUGGGCGAAAGCCUGACGGAGCCAUGCCGCGUGAGUGAAGAAGGCCUUCGGAUUGUAAAGCACUGUCAGCGAGGAGGCGUUACCCGCACAGAAAGCACCGGCUAACUACGUGCCAGCAGCCGCGGUAAUUC